AUGGCGAAAGGUUCUACUGCGAAGGCAGAGAGGGCGAAAAAGGCAGGGAAGGCCACCUCCUCUGGCUCGGGCGUGGCGGCCGGUGGUGCGUUAGGGGAAUGGCUCCCGUCGUGUGUCUCCGCACGGCGCGUGGAGGAUUUGGUGGAGGAGGGACUGAUCCCACAUGACGGGUGGCGUCGGCCAGGCGCGGGAGAGAUCGAACCGGCGCCUGAGUUGGACGAGCGCAUCCUGCUCGUCACCCACGUCGAGCGAGGUUUCUCGAUGCCUCCGCAUCCUUUCUUUCGAGCAUUCCUUGAUUUCUUCAGUGCUCAACUCCACCAUCUUCCCCUAAUGCCAUUAUUUACCUUUCGGCUUUCAUCUCCCUCUGUGAGAACUUCCUGGGUUGCCAUCCCCACUGGGGUCUCUUCAAACACAUCUUCAUCUGUCGGUCGAUCUCGGUGA
RNAcentral lists this ribosomal RNA (441 nucleotides) under Triticum aestivum (bread wheat). Its description in RNAcentral is "partial small subunit ribosomal RNA". Lineage: Eukaryota; Viridiplantae; Streptophyta; Magnoliopsida; Poales; Poaceae. The record is from RNAcentral.